This is a non-coding RNA of Gregarina niphandrodes, 84 nucleotides long. The record is from Rfam. NCBI's taxonomy places the organism in Eukaryota, Apicomplexa, Conoidasida, Eugregarinorida, Gregarinidae.
GCGUGGGUAGUCUAGUGGAACGACACUCCCUUUAACAUAUCGUGUGCUUGGGAGAAAGCCAGGGUUCGAAUCCCUGCCCAGGCA